Molecule: unclassified non-coding RNA, 2210 nt
Filed under: Hevea brasiliensis (rubber tree)
Lineage: Eukaryota; Viridiplantae; Streptophyta; Magnoliopsida; Malpighiales; Euphorbiaceae
Source: RNAcentral
CACAGAUCUCGAUGUAAAUAUUGGAUAUAAGAACUAUUACAUUUGUCCUUACAUAAAGUUGAGCUUAUGGUAGCUGCACCCUUGGAAAUUCUUGCACCAGAAGAAGACGAUUGAUGGACCAACUCUUAAGCCUUCUUAUCUUCUGUGGCAAAGACAACAAAAACUGACAAAAUAAAAGUUAUCAAAUGACAACACUAAUUUGUUUGUCAUCCAAGGAAUUGCAGAUAAGAGCCAUCGAUAACAAGCAACUUUGAGCAAUCAAAUCUACCAUAGGCAGAAAUUUGGAAGGUAUGAUCAGCUACAUAGUAAUUCAAUGACAACUCGAUACCUCGUGAGAUUCAUUGAUAGCAAGUUAUUUCUACCAUUCAUCACAGUUUGAACAAAAUUUUAAAAUUUAAUCAAUAGCAGACAUUACACUUUUUGCCCAUCAUCCGCCUAGAAGUGUUAAAGGGCACCACAGACAUCUAGUGAAAGUAACCAAGAACUUGACCUCCCACAUUCCGACCAAUUGCUUCUUCAUGGUCCAAUACACCAUCUGGUGUAGUUAUCACGACAUAACCAUACUGACGAGUGGGAAGUAUUCGCAACCUGUAUGCUUCUAUAUCCUUUGCCUUGAUGUCUUGCCUGUAAGUGAGUGCCCGACAAUCUUUUAUCCUGCCUUGUAGUUCAACUGUUAUCCUCCCAACUCUGUGUGGAUCCUGAACUUGAAAAUUUUUUAUAUAUCCUAGAAAUAUUCCACAAAGUCAAAGGCAUUGAAACAUGGCAUGCACAAUAGCAAUAUAAUAAACAUGGAAGUAAAAUGAAAUAAAAUACAUCACAAAAGCAGCAACAUACCAUACCAGCAUUCCAUGUUCAUUUUUUAAAGAAACAUUGUUGUCAAAGGUGCAAAGUGUGCAAAAGCAAAGGGUAAAUGACCACACAAAAAUGCAAGUGCAGCCAAUCUUAUGAGGCAAAUGUUUAUUCAAAAUAUGCAUAAAACAAAUUGAUGAUAUUUUUAUUAUAUUAGUUCUAAUAAUUAAAUAUGAAAACCUAAAUAAUAUUAGAAAAUCAAUAAUAUAAAUAAGAAAAUUACUAUGCUAGUUCAAAAUAAAGCAACAGAAUAAAAGAGUCAAAACCACCCUCUCAGAUGCCUUUGCAAAAAGUAAUUUUCCUACUUUUGAAAUGUUCUGGUUUUCUAUGGCCCAAGCAUCUAAAUGAACUUAAUCAAAACAUUAAAAUGCAGAAGAAGGCAUUUUUUCUCAAUAGCAGCUACAACAUAAAUGCCAUACAAUCUUCAAUCACAAUUCAACAAAACACAAACAUCACAAUACAAUAUUUAUUGAGAAUAAUUCAAGAUAGGCCAUGUGCAAGUACCAGUGCAAAAAUACCGCCGCCACCACCACCAUCAGGCAAAGCACACAAAAUAAACUCAAACAAGCUUAAUCUAACUUUGGCUUUGGCAUGUGUUCAUGUGCUUCUGUAUGAUUGGGACAUUGUAGUGUGUAACUUAGUUAACCUAUUAUGAAGGGGGAAAACCAUUUUUAAUCUCAACAAACAGAAACUAAAAAAAUGACAAACAAUUACAUGUCAAUUGGGAAUAGCAGCAGUAGAAUUAAACAAUAGACAGCCAAUGAGAUAGAAAUUGUUAUUCUGCAAAUAGCAUAGAUUCCCCAACGUAUCUGGCAACAAAGGUCAAAAACAGCAAACAAAUUAGACCAACUGCCUCAGUUGCAACAAAACUAGGGAGAUAAUUCACACUUCGAUCAAGCAGUCUAAUAUUUGCCAUAAAACCAGCCGGAAUGGUGUAAUCCAAGUUGUUGCAAAGAUUGAGAAACACAAGAAAUGUGAAAUUGACAUGCAGAAAGUGAGGAAUGUGACAAAUCCACAAGAAAACAAGUAUAACUCUAGAGGGAAUGAAGCAUGUUUAUUCCAGUUGCUGGCUCAGGUAAGGUACAAAAAUCAGAUAGCUCUAACUAUAACAAUAAACAAAGAGAAAAUACAAAUAGAGAUUUUCCAAGGUUCCCAACAUGAAAGGGAAGAUUUUUGUGAAUGAUGCACUUAAAAAAAAAAAUUCACAAAACCAAUUAAAUAAAACCAAAAGGUCAGCGAUUGAAGGGAAUCUACAUGACUACAUACGCUGAAAACACACAAUUUCCUAAUUCAUAAACAAAAUUCAAGUGCAAACAUAGAAGAAAAGUAAAGGAACUAAAAAAAGAGAGAGAGAGGGAGAG